UGCAAGUCGAGCGCACCUUCGGGUGAGCGGCGGACGGGUGAGUAUCGCGUGGGAACGUGCCCUUCUCUACGGAAUAGUCCUGGGAAACUGGGGGUAAUACCGUAUACGCCCUUUUGGGGAAAGAUUUAUCGGAGAAGGAUCGGCCCGCGUUGGAUUAGGUAGUUGGUGGGGUAAUGGCUCACCAAGCCGACGAUCCAUAGCUGGUUUGAGAGGAUGAUCAGCCACACUGGGACUGAGACACGGCCCAGACUCCUACGGGAGGCAGCAGUGGGGAAUCUUAGACAAUGGGGGCAACCCUGAUCUAGCCAUGCCGCGUGAGUGAUGAAGGCCUUAGGGUUGUAAAGCUCUUUCAGCUGUGAAGAUAAUGACGGUAGCAGCAGAAGAAGUCCCGGCUAACUCCGUGCCAGCAGCCGCGGUAAUACGGAGGGGACUAGCGUUGUUCGGAAUUACUGGGCGUAAAGCGCACGUAGGCGGAUCAGAAAGUUGGGGGUGAAAUCCCGGGGCUCAACCCCGGAACUGCCUUCAAAACUAUUGGUCUGGAGUUCGAGAGAGGUGAGUGGAAUUCCGAGUGUAGAGGUGAAAUUCGUAGAUAUUCGGAGGAACACCAGUGGCGAAGGCGGCUCACUGGCUCGAUACUGACGCUGAGGUGCGAAAGCGUGGGGGA
This 664-nucleotide ribosomal RNA is filed under the name Paracoccus alkenifer. RNAcentral's name for it is "bacterial SSU rRNA". It matches the Rfam family "Bacterial small subunit ribosomal RNA", at positions 56 to 768 of the family's 1533-position model. Lineage: Bacteria; Pseudomonadati; Pseudomonadota; Alphaproteobacteria; Rhodobacterales; Paracoccaceae. The record is from RNAcentral.